CCUACGGGUGGCAGCAGUGGGGGAUAUUGCACAAUGGGGGAAACCCUGAUGCAGCGACGCCGCGUGUGGGACGACGGUCCUCUGGAUUGUAAACCACUGUCCCCAGGGACGAAGAUGACGGUACCUGGCGAGGCCGCUCCGGCUAACUACGUGCCAGCAGCCGAGGUAAUACGUAGGGAGCGAGUGUUGUCCGGAAUUACUGGGUGAACAGGGAGCGUAGGCGGGGAUGCAAGGUGGGGGUAAAAACUACAGGCUCAACUGGGAGGCGCACUCAAAACUGCAGCUCUUGAGUGAAGUAGAGGCAGGCGGAAUUCCUAGUGUAGCGGUGAAAUGCGUAGAUAUUAGGAGGAACACCGAUGGCGAAGGCAGCCUGCUGGGCUGUGACUGACGCUGAGGCUCGAAAGUGUGGGGAGCAAACAGGAUUAGAUACCCUAGUAGUC
RNAcentral lists this ribosomal RNA (440 nucleotides) under uncultured bacterium. RNAcentral's name for it is "partial 16S ribosomal RNA". It matches the Rfam family "Bacterial small subunit ribosomal RNA", at positions 338 to 795 of the family's 1533-position model. The record is from RNAcentral.